This 429-nucleotide ribosomal RNA is filed under the name Verrucomicrobiota bacterium. Its description in RNAcentral is "Verrucomicrobia bacterium partial 16S ribosomal RNA". It matches the Rfam family "Bacterial small subunit ribosomal RNA", at positions 355 to 776 of the family's 1533-position model. Lineage: Bacteria; Pseudomonadati; Verrucomicrobiota. The record is from RNAcentral.
UAGGGAAUCUUCGGCAAUGGGGGGAACCCUGACCGAGCAACGCCGCGUGAGUGAAGAAGGUUUUCGGAUCGUAAAGCUCUGUUGUUAAGGAAGAACGAGUGUGAGAAUGGAAAGUUCAUGCUGUGACGGUACUUAACCAGAAAGGGACGGCUAACUACGUGCCAGCAGCCGCGGUAAUACGUAGGUCCCGAGCGUUGUCCGGAUUUAUUGGGCGUAAAGCGAGCGCAGGCGGUUAGAAAAGUCUGAAGUGAAAGGCAGUGGCUCAACCAUUGUAGGCUUUGGAAACUGUUUAACUUGAGUGCAGAAGGGGAGAGUGGAAUUCCUUGUGUAGCGGUGAAAUGCGUAGAUAUAUGGAGGAACACCGGUGGCGAAAGCGGCUCUCUGGUCUGUAACUGACGCUGAGGCUCGAAAGCGUGGGGAGCGAACAGG